GCGCCUCCAGCCGGGAACUGGGGACGUUUCGGUUUAACCUUUGCAUUGCUGCUCCGGUCUGUUUCUGUCAGCUGCCUGAAAGGAAUGGUGCGAGCUAAGUGACCGAAACCCAAUCGGACAAAUUGACGUAUUCACCCUGGAACUGCAAGCAGCAAAAGCCAAGCAGAUGCAGAACGACAGUGUGACUUCAACUGGAUGCAGAAUCAAACAGCACUAACAACACUUAGGGAAAAAUAUACACAACAUAACGGAAACUUACGUUAGACUUCAGAGUCCAGAUAUAAGAUGCAUUUUGACCCACCGCAUCCUUCACGGUCCUGAAAAUGAUAGACUGGAUGCCAGUAGCACAAGGAAUCAGACCUUCACAUCAUAUCAGUCCAGGAAAAUUCAGGCAACAGGACCAAGACCCUCAGACAGUUACAGACUGUACAAAAGCAACUGACAUCAUCCACAGACUGAACUUUCACAACUAUUAAGUAAAUGGCACUGCCUUGAGACAUCCGUCGAAAUCUGGAGAUUACCCCAUGAUGAAACCUUGGGUCAGUCACCAGCAAAAUGGAGAAAGGUUGGGCUGUGGUUCUGACCCAGGCCAAUAAUUAGAGUAAUUAUUAGAUAACUAGAAUAAUAAUCCAUGCAAAAAGAGACCAGGGCUCUGGUUUGGAAUGUAAUUCUGAUCCCUGAGAAACUUGCAAUUCAACAAACUAUAAGCACAACUGAAAAGUCUAGAGAAAAGUCAUUCAGGAGUUGCUAUAUUGAGAGGGACUACUUUAUAAAACCUGCCUAAUACUACAGACUGAAAUACAUGAAGUGUACCUCACGUGACUGCUGUACCAGGAAGUGUACCAGCCCGCUGUAUGGAAAAAUCUACCUCCAACUAAGGAUCUUCAUUGGCAAUGCAAAACUCCAACAAAGCACUUUGUUAUCCAAGAUGCAAACUAUCCAAAAAUGCAACAAGUAUAAAACCAAACAAGAAGACCUGUAUGCCCUUUGGAAGAUUCUAGACUGUAAGCUCAUUGUGGGCAGCUAAUUCUAGUGUAUUAUACUCUUCCAAUUGCUUCGUAUAGUGU
Molecule: long non-coding RNA, 1067 nt
Organism: Tachyglossus aculeatus (Australian echidna)
Lineage: Eukaryota; Metazoa; Chordata; Mammalia; Monotremata; Tachyglossidae
Exons: 4
Source: RefSeq, a predicted model, not a curated record